GACGAACGCUGGCGGCGUGCUUAACACAUGCAAGUCGAACGGAAAGGCCCUGCUUUUGUGGGGUUCUCGAGUGGCGAACGGGUGAGUAACACGUGAGUAACCUGCCCUUGACUUUGGGAUAACUUCAGGAAACUGGGGCUAAUACCGUAUAGGAUCUCCUGCUGCAUGGUGGGGGUUGGAAAGUUUCGGCGGUUGGGGAUGGACUCGCGGCUUAUCAGCUUGUUGGUGGGGUAGUGGCUUACCAAGGCUUUGACGGGUAGCCGGCCUGAGAGGGUGACCGGCCACAUUGGGACUGAGAUACGGCCCAGACUCCUACGGGAGGCAGCAGUGGGGAAUAUUGCACAAUGGGAGGAAGCCUGAUGCAGCAACGCCGCGUGCGGGAUGACGGCCUGCGGGUUGUAAACAGCUUUCGCCUGUGACGAAGCGUGAGUGACGGUAAUGGGUAAAGAAGCACCGGCUAACUACGUG
This 468-nucleotide ribosomal RNA is filed under the name uncultured bacterium. RNAcentral's name for it is "partial 16S ribosomal RNA". It matches the Rfam family "Bacterial small subunit ribosomal RNA", at positions 28 to 507 of the family's 1533-position model. The record is from RNAcentral.